CGAAUGCUGACAUAAGUAACGAUAAAGCGGGUGAAAAGCCCGCUCGCCGGAAGACCAAGGGUUCCUGUCCAACGUUAAUCGGGGCAGGGUGAGUCGACCCCUAAGGCGAGGCCGAAAGGCGUAGUCGAUGGGAAACAGGUUAAUAUUCCUGUACUUGGUGUUACUGCGAAGGGGGGACGGAGAAGGCUAUGUUGGCCGGGCGACGGUUGUCCCGGUUUAAGCGUGUAGGCUGGUUUUCCAGGCAAAUCCGGAAAAUCAAGGCUGAGGCGUGAUGACGAGGCACUACGGUGCUGAAGCAACAAAUGCCCUGCUUCCAGGAAAAGCCUCUAAGCAUCAGGUAACAUCAAAUCGUACCCCAAACCGACACAGGUGGUCAGGUAGAGAAUACCAAGGCGCUUGAGAGAACUCGGGUGAAGGAACUAGGCAAAAUGGUGCCGUAACUUCGGGAGAAGGCACGCUGAUAUGUAGGUGAAGUCCCUCGCGGAUGGAGCUGAAAUCAGUCGAAGAUACCAGCUGGCUGCAACUGUUUAUUAAAAACACAGCACUGUGCAAACACGAAAGUGGACGUAUACGGUGUGACGCCUGCCCGGUGCCGGAAGGUUAAUUGAUGGGGUCAGCGCAAGCGAAGCUCUUGAUCGAAGCCCCGGUAAACGGCGGCCGUAACUAUAACGGUCCUAAGGUAGCGAAAUUCCUUGUCGGGUAAGUUCCGACCUGCACGAAUGGCGUAAUGAUGGCCAGGCUGUCUCCACCCGAGACUCAGUGAAAUUGAACUCGCUGUGAAGAUGCAGUGUACCCGCGGCAAGACGGAAAGACCCCGUGAACCUUUACUAUAGCUUGACACUGAACAUUGAGCCUUGAUGUGUAGGAUAGGUGGGAGGCUUUGAAGUGUGGACGCCAGUCUGCAUGGAGCCGACCUUGAAAUACCACCCUUUAAUGUUUGAUGUUCUAACGUGGACCCGUGAUCCGGGUUGCGGACAGUGUCUGGUGGGUAGUUUGACUGGGGCGGUCUCCUCCUAAAGAGUAACGGAGGAGCACGAAGGUUGGCUAAUCCUGGUCGGACAUCAGGAGGUUAGUGCAAUGGCAUAAGCCAGCUUGACUGCGAGCGUGACGGCGCGAGCAGGUGCGAAAGCAGGUCAUAGUGAUCCGGUGGUUCUGAAUGGAAGGGCCAUCGCUCAACGGAUAAAAGGUACUCCGGGGAUAACAGGCUGAUACCGCCCAAGAGUUCAUAUCGACGGCGGUGUUUGGCACCUCGAUGUCGGCUC
This 1262-nucleotide ribosomal RNA is filed under the name Escherichia coli. RNAcentral's name for it is "partial 23S ribosomal RNA". It matches the Rfam family "Bacterial large subunit ribosomal RNA", at positions 1291 to 2538 of the family's 2925-position model. The record is from RNAcentral. Lineage: Bacteria; Pseudomonadati; Pseudomonadota; Gammaproteobacteria; Enterobacterales; Enterobacteriaceae.